CCUACGGGUGGCAGCAGUGAGGAAUAUUGGUCAAUGGACGAGAGUCUGAACCAGCCAAGUAGCGUGAAGGAUGACUGCCCUAUGGGUUGUAAACUUCUUUUAUAUGGGAAUAAAAUGUUCCACGUGUGGGAUUUUGUAUGUACCAUAUGAAUAAAGAUCGGCUAACUCCGUGCCAGCAGCCGCGGUAAUACGGAGUAUCCGAGCGUUAUCCGGAUUUAUUGGGUUUAAAGGGAGCGUAGGUGGAUUGUUAAGUCAGUUGUGAAAGUUUGCGGCUCAACCGUAAAAUUGCAGUUGAAACUGGCAGUCUUGAGUACAGUAGAGGUGGGCGGAAUUCGUGGUGUAGCGGUGAAAUGCUUAGAUAUCACGAAGAACUCCGAUUGCGAAGGCAGUUCACUGGACUGCAACUGACACUGAGGCUCGAAAGUGUGGGUAUCAAACAGGAUUAGAUACCCUUGUAGUC
RNAcentral lists this ribosomal RNA (460 nucleotides) under uncultured bacterium. RNAcentral's name for it is "partial 16S ribosomal RNA". It matches the Rfam family "Bacterial small subunit ribosomal RNA", at positions 338 to 795 of the family's 1533-position model. The record is from RNAcentral.